UCGACAAGUGCGUUCACGUGAUUCAAAACUCGAAGCCAUUUUUAACAUUUAUAUUUUCUUUUAUUCCAUCUCUCUUUUUUUCUCAGUAGAGAAUAUUCAGAAGCCAGAGAGAUCAGAUCAUACAUGGAGCCUCCACCAGCACAAGCCAUAGAUACUUCCACCAACAAUUUCCAGAUAGAAGAAGAUGAGCAGGACAAAGUCAUCGACGAUUGUUGUUCCUGCUUUUAUGACUGCACAGAGACCUGCUUUGAUUACUUAUUCUGUAAUCUCUGUUAGAUGAAUCAUGAGAGACUAAAAAUUUUACUUAAUUAUGUUGUAUUAGUAAUUUAGUGCUUUUACAUUGGCCAUCUACAGAAGAAUCAUCUUCUGUGUUUUGUUACAGUUUACAAUUUUGAUGUUACUAUAUUGUCAGGGUUAUAUGAUAUUAUGAUUUGACUUAA
Long non-coding RNA from Pyrus x bretschneideri (Chinese white pear), 440 nucleotides. RefSeq lists it as uncharacterized. Lineage: Eukaryota; Viridiplantae; Streptophyta; Magnoliopsida; Rosales; Rosaceae. The record is from RefSeq and is a predicted model, not a curated record. The transcript has 2 exons.